GGAAAUUUGGAGAGCGACCUCAACCGAAACGGCUCACCAGGGAAGCAAUGCGAAAUUACCUAAAGGAGCGAGGUGAUCAAACAGUGCUAAUACUCCAUGCGAAAGUUGCGCAGAAAUCGUAUGGAAAUGAAAAAAGGUUCUUUUGUCCUCCUCCAUGUGUGUAUCUUAUGGGCAGUGGAUGGAAGAAAAAAAAAGAGCAAAUGGAACGGGAUGGUUGCACUGAGCAAGAGUCACAACCUUGCGCCUUCAUUGGAAUAGGAAACAGUGACCAAGAAAUGCAGCAGCUCAACUUGGAAGGAAAGAAUUAUUGCACUGCCAAAACGUUAUACAUAUCAGACUCAGACAAGAGAAAGCACUUCAUGUUAUCGGUAAAAAUGUUCUAUGGCAAUAGUGACGACAUCGGUGUGUUCCUCAGUAAACGGAUCAAAGUCAUCUCGAAACCUUCUAAAAAGAAACAGUCACUGAAAAAUGCAGACUGUAAGUAUUUUACAGUUAUUUUCUUUACGUAGCAAUUCAUUUUGCCUCCUACUAAUUUUUUCUUUUGUAUUCUGAGGUCUGACUACAAAGUA
This is a long non-coding RNA of Pygoscelis adeliae (Adelie penguin), 569 nucleotides long. RefSeq lists it as uncharacterized. The transcript is spliced from 4 exons. Lineage: Eukaryota; Metazoa; Chordata; Aves; Sphenisciformes; Spheniscidae. The record is from RefSeq and is a predicted model, not a curated record.